This 400-nucleotide ribosomal RNA is filed under the name phytoplankton environmental sample. Its description in RNAcentral is "partial small subunit ribosomal RNA". It matches the Rfam family "Eukaryotic small subunit ribosomal RNA", at positions 587 to 992 of the family's 1831-position model. The record is from RNAcentral.
AGCUCCAUUAGCGUAUAUUAAAGUUGUUGCAGUUAAAAAGCUCGUAGUUGGAUUUCGGGGCGGGCCGACCGGUCUGCCGAUGGGUAUGCACUGGCCGGCGCGUCCUUCCACCCGGAGACCGCGCCUACUCUUAACUGAGCGGGCGCGGGAGACGGGUCUUUUACUUUGAAAAAAUCAGAGUGUUUCAAGCAGGCAGUCGCUCUUGCAUGGAUUAGCAUGGGAUAAUGAAAUAGGACUCUGGUGCUAUUUUGUUGGUUUCGAACACCGGAGUAAUGAUUAACAGGGACAGUCAGGGGCACUCGUAUUCCGCCGAGAGAGGUGAAAUUCUCAGACCAGCGGAAGACGAACCACUGCGAAAGCAUUUGCCAGGGAUGUUUUCACUGAUCAAGAACGAAAGUAG